Molecule: long non-coding RNA, 2431 nt
Filed under: Homo sapiens (human)
Lineage: Eukaryota; Metazoa; Chordata; Mammalia; Primates; Hominidae
Description: PREDICTED lncRNA (TCONS_00081110)
Source: RNAcentral
UUUGCCCGCAGGCCCCCAUGUGACAGAGGCUCUUACAAAAGAGUUUGUUUACAUGCAUCAAGUUACCAACAUUUUCCAAGAAAUUAGGGUGUUGACCAAUACAAUCUCAUUGAGAUGGGGUUAUGAGAGUGGUCCCUAAUUCAGUAUGACUGUAUUCUUAUAGAAAGAAGGGAAUUUGAAGGCAGACACACACAGGAAGGGGAACACAUUUAGAAGAUAGAGAUACAGAUUAGAUUUGUGCAAUGGCAAGCCAAGAAAUACCAACGGUUGAUGACGCUAUGGUGUGAAGAUUUGUCUCCUCCAAAACUCAUGUUGAAAUGUAAUCCCCAAGGUAGCAGUAUGGAGAGGUAGAGCCUUGAAGAGGUGAUUGGUCUGCCCUCAUGAAUGGAUUAAUCCAUUGAUGGAUCAAUGGGUUAAUGGAUUAUCAUAGGAGGGGAACGGGUGGCUUUAUAUUAGGAGGAAGAGAUACCUGGGCUAACAUGCUCCACUUCCUCAUCAUGUGAUGUCCUGUGCUACCAUGAGACUCUACAGAGUUCCCAGCAGCAAGAAGGCCCUGAGCAGAUAUGGCCCUCUGACCUUGGACUUCUCAGCCUCCGUGACUAAUGAAGAAGGAGAAGUCAACAUUUGGGAAGUGUUUACCAUGGACCAGGAGGGUCUCAGUGAUUUUGCAGAAAUCGUAAUUGAAGAAAAUGAUGGAAAGGAAGCUUUGAAUAUGGAGUGUUGUUAUUGCACUGACUGGACAACCAGAUGGAGCUAUUCCCAGUCCCCAGCACACAGAUAGAGAAUCUAUUCGACAAUAACUAAAGAGGUGUACAGUUCUAGAACAUUCUGCAACCAGACUUCAGGCACCAGGAGGCCUCCGUAGGCAGGGUUCCUCGGGCUUCUCAGCUGGCUUCCUUGGAGAAAUUUCAUAUGCUGAUUCCUUUCAAUUAUCUGUCAAUUUUCAAAAUGCAAAUAGAAACAUGCAGUCAUCACUUUGGUACUCACCAGCUGAUUUCUUCCAAGCACCCAGACCAUAAGUGAAUGCAGUUCAAUAUGUUCUCUUCCUUUUUUUAAGUGGAGUUAAUAUUACUGAGCAGAUUUUGGUUAGCUUCCAGGAACCCAGUGUGUGGAGAGGCAGAAUUUUAUUUUAGAAGCACAAGUUGGUUUGAAAAAUGUGAACUUACCCCAACUCUUUCUUUGUUUCAUCUUUCUUACUAGACAUGUUUUAUUUUCCUAAAGAAAACAUAAAUAAAAACAAAAAAAAAUUCUUCAUUGAUACACACACACACACACACACACACACACAUACACAAUUUAGGUCAAAUUAUUUUUACUACUUAGGAUGUCUUUAGUUAUUUUACAUAUUUAUAACACAGAAAAAAAGUAAGAAGAAAAGGAAAAAUGGUGUAUAAUCUUAAGACCAGGAGAUAACCAAUAAUAAAUAUUUUGCUAUAAUUUCUUUUCAUAUUCUAUGCAUAUACAUUUUAUGGAAUUGAGUUCACACUGUUCACAUAAUUUUGCUUUCUCUAUUUUGCCUUUACCUUUAUCAAUAAGCAUUUUCUUUAUAUCCUUAAAAUUUCUUUAUUAACGUAACCUAAUACAUAUGCACAAAAUGUUACCUAAUCAUUCGCCUGUUUAAGGGCAUUUGGUAAUUUCCAAUAUUUUUUCCUUCACGAUUUCGGGUAAUGUUUAAAUAAACCAAUUUAUGGAAAAGAGCUACCUAUGUUGGAUUACUUGCUUAGAAUGAAUUCCUGGAAAUAGAAUUACUGGGUCAAAGGGUACCAACAUAUUUAAUGUCCCCAAAGGCAUAUUGGCAAAUUGCCUUCCAUACAAAUUAUACCAAUUCCCCCUCUGUAACUAGUAUAUAAAAGUGCCUGUUUCACAGUAUCUCCCCUGCUCCAAGAUCUUGUAAAAUCUCUGCAAAUUUGAAAAAUGAAAAAAAUGAUAACUGUUGCCUGGAACAAUUUGUUAAAAGAUGCACUGAGCAAUACAUUUAUUUUUAAAAUUUUUCAUCUCACAAAGAAAUAUAAAAGCUUAUACACAGGAUGUUUUCUGACCAAUAAAUGCUAAAAAGCCAUAAUGUUUCAUCAUACAUAGUAGAUUAUUUUGUUCGAAAACCUAUUACAUUUUGCAUGCUGCUAUAGCAGUCUUUCUAGUCCAGAAAACACUUCACUAAAACAGCAACAAUAUCAGUUUACUGCAUAAGAUUGCCGGCAGCUCACACUAGAUUCUAAACACGAUUGAAUAGGCAUCUUUAAGAGUGGAAUAUCCAUGACUUAUCUUGCCAGGCUUGGUACUAUGCCAGUGGAGAAGGUGGAUGGUGCCAUUGUUAUUUGGGCAGCCAUGCCGAUCUCAAGGAGGAAAGCUGAAAUUGUUUGAAAACCUGGUUUAAGACAGUCUUUUUGAGAUUUAGCCCUAGAGAACACUCAACUAAACAACCAAGAGAGGC